CAAUGCAAUGUUUCAUCAUGUACACUUUAGAACAAUGUUUCCAAUGAAAAACCAAUAGAGAGGUUGCCCCCCCCCCCAUCAGAGACUAACAAUAAACUAACAAAUGAAGAGAAGGAACAAUCAAUGGGAGGAGACAAACCAAUGACUACUAGUACUGAAGAGUGACCAUACCCACUUUACAUACAAGGAUUAUACCAUACAUUACACCCCCUCACUGUCAGUAUUGACUCAUGCAUACACAUUAAUACAAUAAAGGAUGUACUGGUACUAAUUGUAUACUUUUAAUGAUCAUUUAAUCAUCUAUUAUUAUUAUUA
Long non-coding RNA from Amphimedon queenslandica, 315 nucleotides. RefSeq lists it as uncharacterized. The transcript is spliced from 2 exons. The record is from RefSeq and is a predicted model, not a curated record. NCBI's taxonomy places the organism in Eukaryota, Metazoa, Porifera, Demospongiae, Haplosclerida, Niphatidae.